ACGGAAGGCAGCAGUGGGGGAUAUUGCACAAUGGGGGAAACCCUGAUGCAGCGACGCCGCGUGAGUGAAGAAGUAUUUCGGUAUGUAAAGCUCUAUCAGCAGGGAAGAAAAUGACGGUACCUGACUAAGAAGCUCCGGCUAAAUACGUGCCAGCAGCCGCGGUAAUACGUAUGGAGCAAGCGUUAUCCGGAUUUACUGGGUGUAAAGGGAGCGUAGACGGCGAGGCAAGUCUGAUGUGAAAGCCAUGGGCUCAACCCAUGAACUGCAUUGGAAACUGUCUUGCUUGAGUGUCGGAGAGGUAAGCGGAAUUCCUAGUGUAGCGGUGAAAUGCGUAGAUAUUAGGAGGAACACCAGUGGCGAAGGCGGCUUACUGGACGAUAACUGACGUUGAGGCUCGAAAGCGUGGGGAGCAAGCAGGAUUAGAUACCCUGGUA
Molecule: ribosomal RNA, 434 nt
Filed under: uncultured bacterium
Lineage: Bacteria
Description: partial 16S ribosomal RNA
Rfam family: Bacterial small subunit ribosomal RNA
Source: RNAcentral